This 275-nucleotide ribosomal RNA is filed under the name uncultured bacterium. Its description in RNAcentral is "partial 16S ribosomal RNA". It matches the Rfam family "Bacterial small subunit ribosomal RNA", at positions 399 to 691 of the family's 1533-position model. The record is from RNAcentral.
GCGUGAGUGAAGAAGGCCUUAGGGUUGUAAAGCUCUUUUAGUGGGGACGAUAAUGACGGUACCCACAGAAUAAGCCCCGGCUAACUUCGUGCCAGCAGCCGCGGUAAUACGAAGGGGGCUAGCGUUGUUCGGAAUCACUGGGCGUAAAGCGCAUGCAGGCGGACUGAUCAGUCGGGGGUGAAAGCCCGGGGCUCAACCUCGGAACUGCCUUCGAUACUGUCAGUCUUGAGUCCGGGAGAGGUGAGUGGAAUUCCUAGUGUAGAGGUGAAAUUCGU